UGCAGUCGAGCGGAUGAGAGGAGCUUGCUCCUGGAUUCAGCGGCGGACGGGUGAGUAAUGCCUAGGAAUCUGCCUGGUAGUGGGGGACAACGUUUCGAAAGGAACGCUAAUACCGCAUACGUCCUACGGGAGAAAGCAGGGGACCUUCGGGCCUUGCGCUAUCAGAUGAGCCUAGGUCGGAUUAGCUAGUUGGUGAGGUAAUGGCUCACCAAGGCGACGAUCCGUAACUGGUCUGAGAGGAUGAUCAGUCACACUGGAACUGAGACACGGUCCAGACUCCUACGGGAGGCAGCAGUGGGGAAUAUUGGACAAUGGGCGAAAGCCUGAUCCAGCCAUGCCGCGUGUGUGAAGAAGGUCUUCGGAUUGUAAAGCACUUUAAGUUGGGAGGAAGGGCAGUAAAUUAAUACUUUGCUGUUUUGACGUUACCGACAGAAUAAGCACCGGCUAACUCUGUGCCAGCAGCCGCGGUAAUACAGAGGGUGCAAGCGUUAAUCGGAAUUACUGGGCGUAAAGCGCGCGUAGGUGGUUUGUUAAGUUGGAUGUGAAAUCCCCGGGCUCAACCUGGGAACUGCAUCCAAAACUGGCAAGCUAGAGUAUGGUAGAGGGUGGUGGAAUUUCCUGUGUAGCGGUGAAAUGCGUAGAUAUAGGAAGGAACACCAGUGGCGAAGGCGACCACCUGGACUGAUACUGACACUGAGGUGC
Molecule: ribosomal RNA, 702 nt
Filed under: Pseudomonas sp. 19.3
Lineage: Bacteria; Pseudomonadati; Pseudomonadota; Gammaproteobacteria; Pseudomonadales; Pseudomonadaceae
Description: bacterial SSU rRNA
Rfam family: Bacterial small subunit ribosomal RNA
Source: RNAcentral